RNAcentral lists this unclassified non-coding RNA (323 nucleotides) under Hevea brasiliensis (rubber tree). Lineage: Eukaryota; Viridiplantae; Streptophyta; Magnoliopsida; Malpighiales; Euphorbiaceae. The record is from RNAcentral.
CUCCAUUUGCUGACACUUUUUUGAAGCCGCCGUGUAUCCUGGUUCAUACUUCUGCAGGCAUAUUUCACAAGUCGUGUUUCCCUUCUCGUUACACCAUCUCUGUAUGCAAUCUCUGUGAGCAAACUUAACAGUUCCUGAACAAGCACAGGGAGCUUCCAAGCUCUUGCAGCUUUCAAAUUCUGCUUCGUGACAAAUUCUACAGUGAGAAACUGCACAACUCGACUGCAAAUCAUCCACGAACAAAACAACGUCUCCCAUUUUCUCCAAUGAUUUUUCUUUUCUUUCUUUCUUUUCUAUUUUUCCAAAGACACUCUCUGCUUUUU